Molecule: ribosomal RNA, 492 nt
Filed under: Sphingomonadaceae bacterium VUG-C10
Lineage: Bacteria; Pseudomonadati; Pseudomonadota; Alphaproteobacteria; Sphingomonadales; Sphingomonadaceae
Description: bacterial SSU rRNA
Rfam family: Bacterial small subunit ribosomal RNA
Source: RNAcentral
GGUGCGUAACGCGUGGGAAUCUGCCCUUGGGUUCGGGAUAACAGUUGGAAACGACUGCUAAUACCGGAUGAUGACUUCGGUCCAAAGAUUUAUCGCCCAAGGAUGAGCCCGCGUAGGAUUAGCUUGUUGGUGAGGUAAGAGCUCACCAAGGCCACGAUCCUUAGCUGGUCUGAGAGGAUGAUCAGCCACACUGGGACUGAGACACGGCCCAGACUCCUACGGGAGGCAGCAGUGGGGAAUAUUGGACAAUGGGCGAAAGCCUGAUCCAGCAAUGCCGCGUGAGUGAUGAAGGCCUUAGGGUUGUAAAGCUCUUUUACCCGGGAUGAUAAUGACAGUACCGGGAGAAUAAGCCCCGGCUAACUCCGUGCCAGCAGCCGCGGUAAUACGGAGGGGGCUAGCGUUGUUCGGAAUUACUGGGCGUAAAGCGCGCGUAGGCGGCUUUGUAAGUUAGAGGUGAAAGCCCGGAGCUCACCUCCGGAAUUGCCUUUAAGA